RNAcentral lists this long non-coding RNA (214 nucleotides) under Pelobates cultripes (western spadefoot toad). Lineage: Eukaryota; Metazoa; Chordata; Amphibia; Anura; Pelobatidae. The record is from RNAcentral.
GUAAUUAUUUUGAGUCCAGAGUGGUGUUAUGAGGCAGGUAUCGAGCAGAGAGCUUUUAUGGAUUUGAGCAGGUAAAUAUCAGGAUGGUGAGAUAAAGCUGGAUCAUUGUUAAGUUCAAGUUGGUAUUUUGCAGGUUAGAAGUCAAACAGGAAUGCAGAGGAGUUCAGGCUGGCAUUAAGCAGGGUUGGAAGCAAGUAGUUCAGCUGGCAUUAAG